RNAcentral lists this long non-coding RNA (417 nucleotides) under Rosa chinensis. RNAcentral's name for it is "sRNA RchiOBHm_Chr7g0199061". The record is from RNAcentral. Lineage: Eukaryota; Viridiplantae; Streptophyta; Magnoliopsida; Rosales; Rosaceae.
CGUCCAUUUAUUGGAAAGGGCCACUUACAAUCCACCCUGUGCCCCAAAAUCCUCGUAGUAAUUUAGUACGGCCGUGGACUCUUAAUUAAAAGCCGCCGCAGCCGAGCUUACCUUUCCUAAACCCCACGUCACCCAAGCGAGUGGCGCCGAGGCUUCACACCUUGCCGCACCGGAUUGCCUCCUCCUCACGGCGGGGGAAACCUGGCAGCCACAGGGUCGUACAGCGAGUUUUACAAAAAAUAAUUUUUAAUUAAAUAAAAUAUUAUAACGAUGGUCGAACCGGCGAGCGCCCUCUCUGUUCGAUAAUAAACACACUUUCUCCACAGGCGAAGCGAAGAAAGCUAACUAUGCGCACUGCGCACCCGUCCGACUACGAUCUCGUCGGAGACGGCCAUGGCGGCGCGCGACUCGCAGGCG